RNAcentral lists this ribosomal RNA (274 nucleotides) under uncultured bacterium. RNAcentral describes it as "partial 16S ribosomal RNA". It matches the Rfam family "Bacterial small subunit ribosomal RNA", at positions 523 to 796 of the family's 1533-position model. The record is from RNAcentral.
AUACGGAGAGUGCAAGCGUUGUUCGGAAUUACUGGGCUUAAAGAGCGUGUAGGCGGAACAUCAGGUGCUUUGUGAAAGCCCCGGGCUCAACCCGGGAAUCGCGUGGCAAACCGAUGUUCUUGAGGCAGGUAGAGGUGACUGGAACAACUGGUGGAGCGGUGAAAUGCGUAGAUAUCAGUUGGAACGCCAGCGGCGAAAGCGAGUCACUGGGCCUGUCCUGACGCUGAGACGCGAAAGCGUGGGGAGCGAACAGGAUUAGAAACCCGAGUAGUCC